CUUCCUACGGGGCGCAGCAGUGGGGAAUAUUGCACAAUGGGGGAAACCCUGAUGCAGCAACGCCGCGUGAGUGAAGAAGUAUCUCGGUAUGUAAAGCUCUAUCAGCAGGGAAGAAAAUGACGGUACCUGACUAAGAAGCCCCGGCUAACUACGUGCCAGCAGCCGCGGUAAUACGUAGGGGGCAAGCGUUAUCCGGAUUUAUUGGGUUUAAAGGGUGCGUAGGCGGAAUGCCAAGUCAGCGGUAAAAUCGCGGGGCUCAACCUCGCUCCGCCGUUGAAACUGGCGAUCUUGAGUGGGCGGUAAGU
RNAcentral lists this ribosomal RNA (305 nucleotides) under uncultured bacterium. RNAcentral describes it as "bacterial SSU rRNA". It matches the Rfam family "Bacterial small subunit ribosomal RNA", at positions 335 to 658 of the family's 1533-position model. The record is from RNAcentral.